RNAcentral lists this non-coding RNA (29 nucleotides) under Mus musculus (house mouse). Lineage: Eukaryota; Metazoa; Chordata; Mammalia; Rodentia; Muridae. The record is from RNAcentral.
UAGCUGUGUAAGUUCUGCAGGGACUCAGA